AUGCAACAUCCCCUGAUGAUACUCAAGUUUCUUAUAAAACUUGGAAAUAUGCAUACAAAGGUAGUUUUGAGAGAUGGGGCUGAACAGUUACUUGUUGUAUAUAUAUUGCAAUGUUGCUCCAAUUUAUCAACCCUUAGUCGUAGUAGUACAAAUAUACUCGGUGUAUUUAUAGUUCCACUUAGCAUGAAGGAGCAUGAUCAAAUUGAGAAUCAAACAGAAAUAUCCGUCAAGCAUAUCAGGUCAAGGAAGGUAGAAAACUUGUUACAUAAGGUAAGGUUCAGUAGCUUCAGAACUUUUUCUGUUAUACAAAUACUGCUUCAGUUUCAGAACAUGUAUUAG
Molecule: ribosomal RNA, 339 nt
Filed under: Triticum aestivum (bread wheat)
Lineage: Eukaryota; Viridiplantae; Streptophyta; Magnoliopsida; Poales; Poaceae
Description: partial small subunit ribosomal RNA
Source: RNAcentral